Molecule: ribosomal RNA, 253 nt
Filed under: uncultured bacterium
Lineage: Bacteria
Description: partial 16S ribosomal RNA
Rfam family: Bacterial small subunit ribosomal RNA
Source: RNAcentral
UACGUAGGGGGCAAGCGUUGUCCGGAAUCAUUGGGCGUAAAGAGCGUGUAGGCGGCCAGAUAAGUCCGCUGUGAAAUCUCGAGGCUCAACUUCGAGCUGUCGGUGGAAACUGUCUGGCUAGAGUCCGGAAGAGGAGAAUGGAAUUCCUGGUGUAGCGGUGAGAUGCGCAGAUAUCAGGAAGAACACCCGUGGCGAAGGCGGUUCUCUGGGACGGUACUGACGCUGAGACACGAAAGCGUGGGUAGCAAACAGG